RNAcentral lists this ribosomal RNA (406 nucleotides) under uncultured bacterium. Its description in RNAcentral is "partial 16S ribosomal RNA". It matches the Rfam family "Bacterial small subunit ribosomal RNA", at positions 30 to 526 of the family's 1533-position model. The record is from RNAcentral.
AUUGACCGCUGGCGGCAGGCUUAACACAUGCAAGUCGAGUGAGCGGCGGACGGGUGAGUAAUGUCUGGGCAACUGCCUGAUGGAGGGGGAUAACUACUGGAAACGGUAGCUACUACCGCAUACCCUCCGGUAUUCCCACAUGGGAUUAGCUAGUAGGUGGGGUAAUGGCUCACCUAGGCGACGAUCCCGAGCUGGUCUGAGAGGAUGACCAGCCACACUGGAACUGAGACACGGUCCAGACUCCUACGGGAGGCAGCAGUGGGGAAUAUUGCACAAUGGGCGCAAGCCUGAUGCAGCCAUGCCGCGUGUGUGAAGAAGGCCUUCGGGUUGUAAAGCACUUUCAGCGAGGAGGCGUUACUCGCAGAAGAAGCACCGGCUAACUCCGUGCCAGCAGCCGCGGUAAUAC